RNAcentral lists this ribosomal RNA (487 nucleotides) under Pseudomonas sp. RNAcentral's name for it is "bacterial SSU rRNA". It matches the Rfam family "Bacterial small subunit ribosomal RNA", at positions 78 to 561 of the family's 1533-position model. The record is from RNAcentral. Lineage: Bacteria; Pseudomonadati; Pseudomonadota; Gammaproteobacteria; Pseudomonadales; Pseudomonadaceae.
GCUUGCUUCUCUUGAGAGCGGCGGACGGGUGAGUAAUGCCUAGGAAUCUGCCUGGUAGUGGGGGAUAACGUUCGGAAACGGACGCUAAUACCGCAUACGUCCUACGGGAGAAAGCAGGGGACCUUCGGGCCUUGCGCUAUCAGAUGAGCCUAGGUCGGAUUAGCUAGUUGGUGAGGUAAUGGCUCACCAAGGCGACGAUCCGUAACUGGUCUGAGAGGAUGAUCAGUCACACUGGAACUGAGACACGGUCCAGACUCCUACGGGAGGCAGCAGUGGGGAAUAUUGGACAAUGGGCGAAAGCCUGAUCCAGCCAUGCCGCGUGUGUGAAGAAGGUCUUCGGAUUGUAAAGCACUUUAAGUUGGGAGGAAGGGCAUUAACCUAAUACGUUAGUGUUUUGACGUUACCGACAGAAUAAGCACCGGCUAACUCUGUGCCAGCAGCCGCGGUAAUACAGAGGGUGCAAGCGUUAAUCGGAAUUACUGGGCGU